CAAGGAAUAGUAGACAAUGGGCGCAAGCCUGAUCUCGCGACGCCGCGUGAGGGAUGAAGGCCUUCGGGUUGUAAACCUCUUUUUUCAGGGAUUAAUAAUGACAGUACCUGGAGAAUAAGUCACGGCUAACUACGUGCCAGCAGCCGCGGUAAAACGUAGGUGGCUAACGUUAUCCGGAUUUACUGGGCGUAAAGCGUGCGUAGGUGGUUAGAUAAGUCAGAUGUAAAAUCUCCUGGCUCAACUGGGAGGGACCAUCUGAUACUGUUUAGCUUGAGUACAGAAGAGGAAAGUGGAAUUCCCGGUGUAGUGGUGGAAUGCGUAGAUAUCGGGAGGAACACCAGUGGCGAAAGCGGCUUUCUGGUCUGUUACUGACACUGUUGCACAAAAGCGUGGGGAGCAAACAG
Molecule: ribosomal RNA, 404 nt
Filed under: uncultured bacterium
Lineage: Bacteria
Description: bacterial SSU rRNA
Rfam family: Bacterial small subunit ribosomal RNA
Source: RNAcentral